UAGGGAAUCUUCGGCAAUGGGGGCAACCCUGACCGAGCAACGCCGCGUGAGUGAAGAAGGUUUUCGGAUCGUAAAGCUCUGUUGUAAGAGAAGAACGUGUGUGAGAGUGGAAAGUUCACACAGUGACGGUAACUUACCAGAAAGGGACGGCUAACUACGUGCCAGCAGCCGCGGUAAUACGUAGGUCCCGAGCGUUGUCCGGAUUUAUUGGGCGUAAAGCGAGCGCAGGCGGUUUAAUAAGUCUGAAGUUAAAGGCAGUGGCUUAACCAUUGUUCGCUUUGGAAACUGUUAAACUUGAGUGCAGAAGGGGAGAGUGGAAUUCCAUGUGUAGCGGUGAAAUGCGUAGAUAUAUGGAGGAACACCGGUGGCGAAAGCGGCUCUCUGGUCUGUAACUGACGCUGAGGCUCGAAAGCGUGUGGAGCAAACAGG
Molecule: ribosomal RNA, 429 nt
Filed under: bacterium
Lineage: Bacteria
Description: partial 16S ribosomal RNA
Rfam family: Bacterial small subunit ribosomal RNA
Source: RNAcentral